RNAcentral lists this ribosomal RNA (429 nucleotides) under Gemmatimonadota bacterium. RNAcentral describes it as "Gemmatimonadetes bacterium partial 16S ribosomal RNA". It matches the Rfam family "Bacterial small subunit ribosomal RNA", at positions 355 to 776 of the family's 1533-position model. Lineage: Bacteria; Pseudomonadati; Gemmatimonadota. The record is from RNAcentral.
UAGGGAAUCUUCGGCAAUGGACGAAAGUCUGACCGAGCAACGCCGCGUGAGUGAAGAAGGUUUUCGGAUCGUAAAACUCUGUUGUUAGAGAAGAACAAGGACGUUAGUAACUGAACGUCCCCUGACGGUAUCUAACCAGAAAGCCACGGCUACCUACGUGCCAGCAGCCGCGGUAAUACGUUGGUGGCAAGCGUUGUCCGGAUUUAUUGGGCGUAAAGCGAGCGCAGGCGGUUUCUUAAGUCUGGUGUGAAAGCCCCCGGCUCAACCGGUGAGGGUCAUUGGAAACUGGGGGACUUGAGUGCAGAAGAGGAGAGUGGAAUUCCAUGGGUAGCGGUGAAAUGCGUAGAUAUAUGGAGGAACACCAGUGGCGAAUGCGGCUCUCUGGUCUGUAACUGACGCUGAGGCUCGAAAGCGUGGCGAGCAAACAGG